UUCAAAAAUUGGCAUUUUCACCACUUUUCAAGGGGUGCGGAACGAAAAUGGUAACUCUAGAAGAGGUGAAAUUAAUUUUCACCUCUUCAAAACAAACGAAAAAACCGUUAAACUGGUAGCCCUAUCAUCAGCUGUUGUUUACUUUUCGAAAUGUCAAAAAGUUCAGUCGCGAAAGAAAUCCGGGAGUGUUUCUGAUUUUUAAUCAAACAAGUUCGAUUCCUUCCGAUGCAUUUUUAUAUGGAUGGCUGUUCCAGUAUGCAUGUAUAUCUGCAGACACACAUCAGGACAUCAUCAUUACCAGGACCUAAUAAGAGCUGGAGGAGAAAUGAGCCGAGAAGAUAUCCCUUGAACUAUUUAACCUCGAAACUGGGAGAAUCAUGCCACACCGGGAUAAAAUAGAGCAUCCAUCAUGCCAUCAGCUCCACAUUGAUGCAGCUCCGGCAGCUAACCAAUAUACUCACGAAUUGUGCCCGAAUUCGGCUUAGACGGUAGUGACUCGAUAAACCGAUAAGUUCCAGCAUUAGAAAACGAUGAUCUAGACGGUAUAAAUAACGCAUCGGCGUCUGGGAACGGUACGUCUCGGGAGGACUCCAGCAACAGUACAACCCCGGUGCACACGAGGAGAACGGUCAAAUCCAGACAGUCACCGUACCCAAGCCUAAGGAAAACAUGCAAUAUCAUUCUCCUAAUAACCUGCGACGUCCAAGGGUGCUGUUACACUUCAUGCAUAUCUUAACAACCGUCAAUCUGUCAAUAUAAAAUUAAAUCUCUGAGAUUAUUUCAAAAUUUCAAACUUUCUCA
Long non-coding RNA from Aedes aegypti (yellow fever mosquito), 801 nucleotides. RefSeq lists it as uncharacterized. Lineage: Eukaryota; Metazoa; Arthropoda; Insecta; Diptera; Culicidae. The record is from RefSeq and is a predicted model, not a curated record. The transcript is spliced from 2 exons.